This 70-nucleotide microRNA precursor is filed under the name Eptesicus fuscus (big brown bat). RNAcentral describes it as "microRNA efu-mir-9256a precursor (efu-mir-9256a-2)". It matches the Rfam family "mir-9256 microRNA precursor family". Lineage: Eukaryota; Metazoa; Chordata; Mammalia; Chiroptera; Vespertilionidae. The record is from miRBase by way of RNAcentral.
AUAUACACUGAGUGGCCCGAUUAUUAUGAUCUCUGAACGCAUAAUGAUCUGGCCACUCAGUGUGUGUGUG